GUGCCAGCCGCCGCGGUAAAACGUAGGAGUCUAGCGUUAUCCGAAUUUACUGGGCGUAAAGCGCGUGUAGGCGGUUCGGUAAGUUGGAUGUGAAAGCUCCUGGCUCAACUGGGAGAGGUCGUUCAAUACUGUCGGACUCGAGGAUGGUAGAGGGAGGUGGAAUUCCCGGUGUAGUGGUGAAAUGCGUAGAUAUCGGGAGGAACACCAGUGGCGAAAGCGGCCUCCUGGACCAUUCCUGACGCUCAGACGCGAAAGCUAGGGGAGCAAACGGGAUUAGAUACCCCCGUAGUCC
This 292-nucleotide ribosomal RNA is filed under the name uncultured bacterium. RNAcentral's name for it is "partial 16S ribosomal RNA". It matches the Rfam family "Bacterial small subunit ribosomal RNA", at positions 505 to 796 of the family's 1533-position model. The record is from RNAcentral.